This 298-nucleotide long non-coding RNA is filed under the name Manihot esculenta (cassava). RNAcentral's name for it is "long non-coding RNA (MESC_LNC001614)". The record is from RNAcentral. Lineage: Eukaryota; Viridiplantae; Streptophyta; Magnoliopsida; Malpighiales; Euphorbiaceae.
CUUUGAGCAUAUGUCAUGCAUCAUAAGAUUAUAGUAGGAUGUUUGCAUUAGUUUCACGAAGAUGACGCAUUGCAUAAUACGAUGUAUAUGAGGCUGUGGAUAGACCAAGGCGACUCCAAUAGCCCAAGCUCUGUUAUAAGACCUGGCCGGGCUAGGCAGCCAUCUGUAGGUAAGACCUGACUAGAGCAGGCAGCAGAGAUAGUAAGACCUGGCUGGGCCAGGCAGGCAGAGUUGUAAGACCUGGCCGGGCCAGGCAGAUUGAGGUUGUAAGACCUGGCUAGGCCAGGCAUCCUUUCAG